CUACGGGAGGCAGCAGUAGGGAAUAUUGGACAAUGGGCGAAAGCCUGAUCCAGCAAUGCCGCGUGUGUGAAGAAGGCCUGAGGGUUGUAAAGCACUUUUAGUGGUGAGGAGAGACAUGAGUUUAAGAGAUACAUGUUGAGACGUUAACCAAAGAAAAAGCACCGGCUAACUCCGUGCCAGCAGCCGCGGUAAUACGGAGGGUGCAAGCGUUAAUCGGAUUGAUUGGACGUAAAGGGCGCGUAGGUGGUUUACUAAGUGAGUUGUGAAAUCCAUGGGCUUAACCUGUGGCUGUCAACUCAAACGGGUAGACUAGAGUACAGUAGAGGGUUGUGGAAUUUCCGGUGUAGCGGUGAAAUGCGUAGAGAUCGGAAGGAACACCAGUGGCGAAGGCGACAACCUGGGCUGAAACUGACACUGAGGCGCGAAAGCGUGGGGAGCAAACAGGAUUAGAAACCCCGGUAGUCC
Molecule: ribosomal RNA, 465 nt
Filed under: uncultured bacterium
Lineage: Bacteria
Description: bacterial SSU rRNA
Rfam family: Bacterial small subunit ribosomal RNA
Source: RNAcentral